RNAcentral lists this long non-coding RNA (1241 nucleotides) under Strigops habroptila (Kakapo). RNAcentral describes it as "lncRNA (ENSSHBG00005017599.1)". The record is from RNAcentral. Lineage: Eukaryota; Metazoa; Chordata; Aves; Psittaciformes; Psittacidae.
GUAACUAACACUAUAGGUACAUAGUGUACGUAGCCUUCUCUUCAGCAGAUCAAGUUUUUUUAAUGCCCAAGAGGUAUGCAAUGGGCAAGUCUGUUCACUUGCAAAGAUUUGAGGGAUGGAGACUAAAAAUAAAUAGAGUUUUUCUUCUAAAGCAUGCUUACUGCAGUUUUAAGUAAACACCUAUUGUACACAGAGUGAGUGCCUUGCUACUCCAAGUGCUAGCAGUGGCCUACAGAAUACUGUAUUGUUAAUGCCUCUGGCUACUUCAAAUCUAUCUUGUCUUUAAUGUGUCUUGUGAGUAACUCUCUCUUUUGUUUUGUUUUUUAUUUCUGUUCCUCACCAGGCAUUUUUCACACUUGCACGGGACAUUAUGACAAAGCUCAACAGAAAAAUGAAUGACAACAGUUCAUCAGGGGCAGGUGGGCCAGUAAAAAUAACAGAAAAUCGAUCUAAGAAGAGCAGCUUCUUUCGAUGCACGCUACUUUGAUGAACUUCUAAUGAUAGACUGCAGCACACUUAGAACCUUUUCUGCUUCUUUGAAAGCACAGGGUCACAAAGCCUCAGAAAUAAUACCACCAAGCUGCUGCUGAGAGCUCCAUUGAACGUAGACUGCGAUACACAAAAUACCGAGUGGAUUUUGCUCACUAAGCCUAUUGACCUGUCAGGCUCUUCUUUCUCAGAUAUGGAAGCUAUGAAGUGGAGACACAAAUGCAAGAGUUAACCUGUUUUCCUUUUUUACUUUCUGUUUUAUUGCCUGUUGCAAAAGCUGCUAUGUUUCUUUUAACUUUGCACAUCCAUAUUGGCCUCUUACUGCCUGUUACAGCACAAUCUUACAUUUGUAUUUGCACAGUUUCACUUGUAAGUAAGAUUCUUAACAGAUUUGUGCAGGUUUUUCUUUCUCUUUUUAAACAAAUUUAUUUUCAAGCAGAAGAGCCAGGGGAAAAAUUAUGUCUCACUUCCAUUAUUUUCUAUGCUGUAUACUUGUGGCCAUGACUGCAGUAUGGAUGUUGACACUCUAGUGAUGAGAAUUACUGGAACAAUUGGCAUUUAACAAUUUGUAUGCAUUUUGUCUCUUAGAUGCACAAAUCUGUUCAUGCAGAAGCGAUGACAUUCUAUUCUGAAUGUAGUACGUUGCUUUUCUUUCUUUACCGGACUUAGCAAAGUUGUGUUCUGAAUUGCCAGUCACUGUCUUGAUUCACAGAUGCACCUUUCAGUUAUUUGAAUAAACACAGUGUCUUUCC